AUAUCAGCUAGUGAAUUUUUAGAGUAGUCAUUCUAAAUUGAUUGCAUAGUUUGUGAUUAUUAUGUAAUCAAAAGAGUGGAAUGUAAUGGGAAAAUGAUAUGUGACCCUUUUAAAUGCUUCAUUUGUAUAACCAGUUUAUUAGUUGCAAGUGCUUAGGUCACAAAGGCCCUGACAUAAGAACUGAUGUCUCCCACUUGGAUUAGAUGUUUCCAGCGUCAUAGCUGUAGAGACUGAACAAAGUGUUUGUUAUGUCUAUGACCACCUUUGUUUAAGCAUGUUGGGAGAGCAAGGACACGGUCAAAGAACUGAUGUGUCUCACAUGGACAAGGUGUUCCCAGUACCCUGGCUGUAGAGACUCAACAAGAUGGUUAACGGUCUCUGUUGACGCCACCGAUAUCUAAGUUUAGGUAUAAGAACUGCCUCGAUGUGUUGGGAAGAAAAGGAGGUUCUUGACAGUCUACUGACCACGUAGCUGUUGGGACCCUUUUUCCCUUGCAAGGAAAUAAACGGAGAAAAGACAUACUUGACUCAGAGCCUUUGAUUCUUACUUAACGAUUGUCUGUGCAAAAUCUUCCACCACAGAAAUGUCAUGAAAUUCUAUCUUUAGUCAUAUGAAGGGGGACAAUGGUGAGAAAACGUACUUUUGAAUAAAAAUCUGAUUUUUUUCUAAAUUGGAGUAAUUAGACAUUCUAAUGGCUGCAGUUGACACGGUACAGUGGUGUAGUGGUUAGCACUCUCGCCUCCCAGAGAGAUGCCUCGGGUUCAACUCCACCCUGUGGAGCCUCUGUGUUAGGUAGUGUAGGGUAAGCGACCUUGGGGUUCGCUCCAUACUUGUAAAAGCAAUGGAAAAUUUUUUUUUUAAAUUCCGCAUCUGAAAAGAAUCCCCAAAUAUUUUGCAAAAUGUCAUGAAAUUCUAUCUUUAGUCAUAUGAAGGGGGACAAUGGUGAGAAAACGUACUUUUGAAUAAAAAUCCGGAUAUUUUCUAAAUCGGAGUCAAUAGACAAUCUAAUUGCAGCAGUUGACACAGUACAGUGGUGUAGUGGUUAGCACUCUCGCCUCCCAGACAGGUGCCUCGGGUUCAACUCCACCCAGUGGUGCCACUGUGUUAGGUGGUGUAGGCUAAGCCUGCAUGGGGUUCACUCCAUAUUUGUAAAAGUAAUGGAAAUUUUUUUUUUUAAACUUCCAAGUCUAAAAGAAAUGCCAAAAUAUUUUGCAACAAGUAAUGAAAUUCUAUCUUUAGUCAUAUGAAGGGGGACAAUGGUGAGAAAACGUACUUUUGAAUAAAAAUCCGGAUAUUUUCUAAAUUGGAGUCAAUAGACAAUCUAAUUGCAGCAGUUGACACGGUACAGUGGUGUAGUGGUUAGCACUCUCGCCUCCCAGACAGGUGCCUCGGGUUCAACUCCACCCAGUGGCGCCACUGUGUUAGGUGGUGUAGGCUAAGCCUGCAUGGGGUUCACUCCAUAUUUGUAAAAGUAAUGGAAAAAACUUUUUUUAAACUUCCAAGUCUAAAAAAAAUGCCAAAAUAUUUUGCAAAAAGUAAUGAAAUUCUAUCUUUAUUCAUAUGAAGGUGUACGAUGGUGAGAAAACCUACUUUUGAAUAAAAAUCCGAAUUUUUUCUAAAUUGGAUUCAUAAGACAUUCUACCGGCAGCAGUUGACACGGUACAGUGGUGUAGUGGUUAGCACUCUCGCCUCCCAGACAGAUGCCUCGGGUUCAACUCCACCCAGUGGAGCCUCUGUGUUAGGUGGUGUAGGCUAAGCCUGCAUGGGAUUCACUCCAUACUUGUAAAAGUAAUGGAAAAAAGUUUUUUUUAAACUUUAGCAUCUGAAAAGAAUCCCCAAAUAUUUUGCAAAAUGUCAUGAAAUUCUAUCUUUAGUCAUAUGAAGGGGGACAAUGGUGAGAAAACGUACUUUUGAAUAAAAAUCCGGAUAUUUUCUAAAUUGGAGUCAAUAGACAAUCUAAUUGCAGCAGUUGACACGGUACAGUGGUGUAGUGGUUAGCACUCUCGCCUCCCAGACAGGUGCCUCGGGUUCAACUCCACCCAGUGGCGCCACUGUGUUAGGUGGUGUAGGCUAAGCCUGCAUGGGGUUCACUCCAUAUUUGUAAAAUUAAUGGAAAAAACUUUUUUUAAACUUCCAAGUCUAAAAAAAAUGCCAAAAUACUUUGCAAAAAGUAAUGAAAUUCUAUCUUUAGUCAUAUGAAGGUGUACGAUGGUGAGAAAACCUACUUUUGAAUAAAAAUCCGAAUUUAUUCUAAAUUGGAUUCAUAAGACAUUCUACCGGCAGCAGUUGACACGGUACAGUGGUGUAGUGGUUAGCACUCUCGCCUCCCAGACAGAUGCCUCGGCUUCAACUCCACCCAGUGGUGCCUCUGUGUUAGAUGGUGUAGGCUAAGCCUGAAUGGGAUUCACUCCAUACUUGUAAAAGUAAUGAAAAAAGUUUUUUUAAACUUCUC
Molecule: long non-coding RNA, 2453 nt
Organism: Gasterosteus aculeatus aculeatus (three-spined stickleback)
Lineage: Eukaryota; Metazoa; Chordata; Actinopteri; Perciformes; Gasterosteidae
Source: Ensembl